GAUGAACGCUGGCGGCAUGCCUAACACAUGCAAGUCGAUCGGUAAGGCUCUUCGGAGUACACGAGAGGCGGACGGCUGAGUAACGCGUAGGAACACACCCUGCAGUGAGGGAUAAGACACCGAAAGGUGUUCUAAUACCGCAUACGGUCUUCGGAUUAAAGCAUUUAUGCGCUGAAGGAGUGGCCUGCGUCAUAUUAGAUAGUUGGUGAGGUAAUGGCUCACCAAGUCGAUGAUGUGUAGCUGGUCUGAGAGGAUGAUCAGCCAGACUGGAACUGAGACACGGUCCAGACUCCUACGGGAGGCAGCAGUGAGGAAUAUUUCACAAUGAGCGAAAGCUUGAUGGAGCAAUGCCGCGUGCAGGAUGAAGGCCCUCGGGUUGUAAACUGCUUUUAUAAGAGAAGAUUAUGACGGUAACUUAUGAAUAAGGGACGGCCAACUACGUG
Molecule: ribosomal RNA, 443 nt
Filed under: uncultured bacterium
Lineage: Bacteria
Description: partial 16S ribosomal RNA
Rfam family: Bacterial small subunit ribosomal RNA
Source: RNAcentral